This 305-nucleotide ribosomal RNA is filed under the name uncultured bacterium. Its description in RNAcentral is "bacterial SSU rRNA". It matches the Rfam family "Bacterial small subunit ribosomal RNA", at positions 333 to 636 of the family's 1533-position model. The record is from RNAcentral.
CCUUUCCCCCGGGACGCAGCAGUGAGGAAUAUUGGUCAAUGGCCGAGAGGCUGAACCAGCCAAGUCGCGUGAGGGAAGAAUGUCCUAUGGAUUGUAAACCUCUUUUGUCAGGGAGCAAAGUCACCCACGUGUGGGCUCUCCCUCUUCCCUUCCUCCCCCUCCUCCUCUCACUCCGUGCCAGCAGCCGCGGUAAUACGGAGGAUGCGAGCGUUAUCCGGAUUUAUUGGGUUUAAAGGGUGCGUAGGCGGGUUAUCAAGUCAGCGGUAAAAUCGUGGAGCUCAACUCCAUCCAGCCGUUGAAACUGA